UCCCUGGUGGUCUAAUGGUUAGGAUUCAACACUUGUACUGAUGUUAGCCCAGGUUCAAUCCCUGGUCUGGGAA
This 73-nucleotide transfer RNA is filed under the name Sus scrofa (pig). Its description in RNAcentral is "tRNA-Thr (TGT) (tRNA-Thr-TGT-6-1)". It matches the Rfam family "tRNA". From Rfam's summary of the family: Transfer RNA (tRNA) molecules are approximately 80 nucleotides in length. Their secondary structure includes four short double-helical elements and three loops (D, anti-codon, and T loops). Further hydrogen bonds mediate the characteristic L-shaped molecular structure. tRNAs have two regions of fundamental functional importance: the anti-codon, which is responsible for specific mRNA codon recognition, and the 3' end, to which the tRNAs corresponding amino acid is attached (by aminoacyl-tRNA synthetases). tRNAs cope with the degeneracy of the genetic code in two manners: having more than one tRNA (with a specific anti-codon) for a particular amino acid; and 'wobble' base-pairing, i.e. permitting non-standard base-pairing at the 3rd anti-codon position. The record is from Rfam by way of RNAcentral. Lineage: Eukaryota; Metazoa; Chordata; Mammalia; Artiodactyla; Suidae.